This 424-nucleotide ribosomal RNA is filed under the name uncultured bacterium. RNAcentral's name for it is "bacterial SSU rRNA". It matches the Rfam family "Bacterial small subunit ribosomal RNA", at positions 28 to 424 of the family's 1533-position model. The record is from RNAcentral.
GAUGAACGCUGGCGGCGUGCUUAACACAUGCAAGUCGAGCGAAGCGCUUUACUUUGAUUUCUUCGGAUUGAAAAGUGCUGCGACUGAGCGGCGGACGGGUGAGUAACGCGUGGGCAACCUGCCUCAUACAGGGGGAUAACAGUUAGAAAUGACUGCUAAUACCGCAUAAGACCACAGUACCGCAUGGUAUGGUGGUAAAAACUCCGGUGGUAUGAGAUGGGCCCCGCGUCUGAUUAGGUAGUUGGUGGGGUAACGGCCUACCAAGCCGACGAUCAGUAGCCGACCUGAGAGGGUGACCGGGCCACAUUGGGGACUGAGACACGGGCCCAAACUCCUACGGGAGGCAGCAGUGGGGAAUAUUGCACAAUGGGGGGAAACCCCUGGGUGCAGCGACGCCGCGUGAAGGAAGAAGUAUCUCGGGUAU